This 401-nucleotide ribosomal RNA is filed under the name uncultured bacterium. RNAcentral's name for it is "bacterial SSU rRNA". It matches the Rfam family "Bacterial small subunit ribosomal RNA", at positions 28 to 426 of the family's 1533-position model. The record is from RNAcentral.
GAUGAACGCUAGCGGCAGGCUUAAUACAUGCAAGUCGAGGGGCAGCGGGGUAGCAAUACCGCCGGCGACCGGCAAACGGGUGCGGAACACGUACAGAACCUUCCUUUAAGCGGGGAAUAGCCCGGAGAAAUCCGGAUUAAUACCCCAUAGUAUUGUUGGGUGGCAUCACCCGAUAAUUAAAGAUUUAUCACUUAAAGAUGGCUGUGCGGCUGAUUAGGUAGUUGGUAGGGGUAACGGCCCACCAAGCCAGCGAUCAGUAACUGGUGUGAGAGCACGACCAGUCACACGGGCACUGAGACACGGGCCCGACUCCUACGGGAGGCAGCAGUAAGGAAUAUUGGUCAAUGGACGCAAGUCUGAACCAGCCAUGCCGCGUGAAGGAUGAAGGCCCUCUGGGUUGU